This 614-nucleotide ribosomal RNA is filed under the name Acinetobacter junii. RNAcentral's name for it is "bacterial SSU rRNA". It matches the Rfam family "Bacterial small subunit ribosomal RNA", at positions 636 to 1251 of the family's 1533-position model. The record is from RNAcentral. RNAcentral also lists the same sequence under 1 other name. Lineage: Bacteria; Pseudomonadati; Pseudomonadota; Gammaproteobacteria; Moraxellales; Moraxellaceae.
GGAAGCUAGAGUAUGGGAGAGGAAGAUAGAAUUCCAGGUGUAGCGGUGAAAUGCGUAGAGAUCUGGAGGAAUACCGAUGGCGAAGGCAGCCAUCUGGCCUAAUACUGACGCUGAGGUACGAAAGCAUGGGGAGCAAACAGGAUUAGAUACCCUGGUAGUCCAUGCCGUAAACGAUGUCUACUAGCCGUUGGGGCCUUUGAGGCUUUAGUGGCGCAGCUAACGCGAUAAGUAGACCGCCUGGGGAGUACGGUCGCAAGACUAAAACUCAAAUGAAUUGACGGGGGCCCGCACAAGCGGUGGAGCAUGUGGUUUAAUUCGAUGCAACGCGAAGAACCUUACCUGGCCUUGACAUACUAGAAACUUUCCAGAGAUGGAUUGGUGCCUUCGGGAAUCUAGAUACAGGUGCUGCAUGGCUGUCGUCAGCUCGUGUCGUGAGAUGUUGGGUUAAGUCCCGCAACGAGCGCAACCCUUUUCCUUACUUGCCAGCAUUUCGGAUGGGAACUUUAAGGAUACUGCCAGUGACAAACUGGAGGAAGGCGGGACGACGUCAAGUCAUCAUGGCCCUUACGGCCAGGGCUACACACGUGCUACAAUGGUCGGUACAAAGGGUUGCU